UGCAGUCGAGCGGUAACAGGGGGAGCUUGCUCCCUGCUGACGAGCGGCGGACGGGUGAGUAAUGCUUAGGAAUCUGCCUGGUAGUGGGGGAUAGCCCGGGGAAACCCGGAUUAAUACCGCAUACGCCCUACCGGGGAAAGCAGGGGAUCUUCGGACCUUGCGCUAUUGGAUGAGCCUAAGUCGGAUUAGCUAGUUGGUGGGGUAAAGGCCUACCAAGGCGACGAUCCGUAGCUGGUCUGAGAGGAUGAUCAGCCACAUCGGGACUGAGACACGGCCCGAACUCCUACGGGAGGCAGCAGUGGGGAAUAUUGGACAAUGGGGGCAACCCUGAUCCAGCCAUGCCGCGUGUGUGAAGAAGGCUUUCGGGUUGUAAAGCACUUUCAGCGAGGAGGAAGGCUCAAAGGUUAAUACCCUUUGGGAUUGACGUUACUCGCAGAAGAAGCACCGGCUAACUCCGUGCCAGCAGCCGCGGUAAUACGGAGGGUGCAAGCGUUAAUCGGAAUUACUGGGCGUAAAGCGCGCGUAGGUGGUUUGAUAAGCGAGAUGUGAAAGCCUCGGGCUUAACCUGGGAACGGCAUUUCGAACUGUCAGACUAGAGUGUGGUAGAGGGUAGUGGAAUUUCC
This 623-nucleotide ribosomal RNA is filed under the name Marinobacter lipolyticus. RNAcentral describes it as "bacterial SSU rRNA". It matches the Rfam family "Bacterial small subunit ribosomal RNA", at positions 56 to 671 of the family's 1533-position model. Lineage: Bacteria; Pseudomonadati; Pseudomonadota; Gammaproteobacteria; Pseudomonadales; Marinobacteraceae. The record is from RNAcentral.